Myzus persicae (green peach aphid) is the source of this 3999-nucleotide long non-coding RNA. RefSeq lists it as uncharacterized. The transcript has 3 exons. The record is from RefSeq and is a predicted model, not a curated record. Lineage: Eukaryota; Metazoa; Arthropoda; Insecta; Hemiptera; Aphididae.
AUCGUAACGCGUCUCACCGUAUGCCACAGUAAUAAUAUUAUAUAUAUCGACGACGAUUGUUCGCGAAAAAUAGGAUACUAUCCCCGCUGAGUAGACGACUAACUUCUAUGCUUGCAAAAUAAAAAAAAAAUUUUCCUUCGCGUAUUAUUCGUUCACGCACAGCAUAUAUUUUAAAAACUAUAUUGUGUGUACAACGCACACCGUUCGGUCGGUUUUGCGUGUAAACAGACAAUAAUAAUAAUAAUAAUAAUAAUAAAAUUAUCUUGCCGUGUAUGCAGAAAAUUACAAACAGAAUAGACAUACGGAGCGGCGGUACUACCCGACGUUUGCAGCGGAACGUACAGCACUUGUGCGGCAGUAUAAUAGCACAGUGCAGUGCUGGCCUGACGCGCGCGCGCGCGAGAAAAACGAGCGUGGCGAAAAACGUGCGCGUACGACUGGUUCGAAAAAACGGAGCGCGGCGACCCGGGCCACUGUGUUCUACCACCACGAUCAGCCGGCCGGCCACCGACGCUGUAGCGGCGGCGGCAUUUCCUUCUCCCGACCGGCACGAAAACAAGAGCAAGGGAGGGGCUGGCCGACGAACCAGGGGACGAAAGCGACGCGCGACCGGUCCCACGUAGACAUCAACAAUAUGAUAAUUCAAUAUACAAUAUUAUAUUAUUAUGUUUGGUCCCGAUCGACUUUGACCGGGUAACCAACCACCUACGAGAUCAGCACUGCAACGAACGCGGCGCAGCGUCAAAGGUCAAUGACGAAUACAUUUUCAUUUAUUUAUUAUAGUGAGGCAACUCGGGUACACACUAUAUAUGUAUGUUUAUAAUAUAUAUAAACGGCGAACUUUAGAACCGAAUACAAUUGGGCAUCAAGUUCCCAGUCCUUCUUGAAGUAUAUAAUUUUGAUGGUAAACUUGCUGAAUAUUUUAAUCAUGAAAUGUAAGAUAUCAACAAAACUACGGGAGAAUAGUGAUCGUAUAAGUUAUUUUAAUCCAUCAUCCAUUGGCCACAGAAAAAAUGACUUAUAAUUUAAAAAUAAAUAAAUAAUAAAAUAAAAAUACUGCAAUAAAAAAAACUUGUAAAUAAGUCUACCUAACAGAUUUUAGGAUAUUUAUUUUUAGCCUGAUAUCACUGUUAAAGUAUUAAGUAAUAUGGAAGAUGACAGUUUACAUAUUGAAAUUAUUUAAGGUGCACGUGGUAUUUUUAACAUGCUUCAAAAAAGUUGUUUUAAAUUGAUAAAUGAUUUGAGAUAAUAUGUAGAAAACUAUACAGCUAUAUGCAUGUAUGUAAUUUACUCAUUGAACGAACCUUUAUGUUCAAAAAGAAGAACAACUAUAUCGAACGACACGGACUUGUCGAUGAGCAUUCCGAACACAUGAAAAUAAUAUUACAAUUUAUAAUACUAUGCCGGAGGUUUGUGAAUACGGGGAUUAAAAUCGAUCACGCGAUAUAAACACUGCCGUAAGCAUAAAAUAACGGCGGUAGUGGUACGUGCAGCUGUAUUUCUUACACAAACAAUAACUGACAUAUAAUAUAUUAUUAUAAUUAUUUAUAUAUAAUAUAUUUUUAUUAGAGUGCAAGACACGGUAAUAGUCACACAGGUCAAAUCCGUAAAAAUUAUGUAACCAGCAUGUAAUAUUUAUAGGUAAUAAUGGUAAACAAUCGCCCUUUAUAAAAGUAAGUCUAUUUAGUGAAUAAAUAAAAAAGGUCCAACAAGCGCGACAACGUAAGUGGAGCAACCAAUAGCGAGAAGAAAACUACGAUUGAUGAACUGUUGGUGAACUGUCAAUAAACUAUAAUAUAAAUCAAUAUCAUAACCAUACGCAAUAAGCCUAUAGGCUAUAAUACGAUGUAUAGAUAAUAUAAUAUGAAUAAUAUUAAUAAUAAUAUGAUAUUAUAAUAAAUAAUAUCUACAUAUUUACGCGAUGACCGUCACGGUAACGUAGUAACAACUAGAUGCAUAAGCAUUCGUGGUUUUAUUCUGGAAUAGUAGAAUACGAUAUAUUAUACGUAUAGUACUAUAGUACAUACACGGAUUGUAAUUUGCAACGAAUACCUACGGCCCACGGCUACAGGAUAAAGAAUCAAUAACAGAAUUAGAUCUUCGCGAACGACAAGUCAUAUAAAUAAUAAAGGAAAGACGAGCUCUUAAUAUCUGUGAUCGAUAGCCAUCAAUGAUGAUGUGUUCCCCCUACCGUUCCAAAAACCUACAAACCAUCAAUACAAAAACCUACAGUACCUACUAAUAGCUAAUGGCCACAGUUGCCGGGCUCAGGAUCAAUUAGAAAAAAAAAAAAAAAGUAUAGAUGUAUGUAUAUUGUAUGUGAUAUUACGUAAACAUCAAUAAACGACGACAGCAGAGGAGAAGCAUUGUUCACCAGAGCCUUCUAUGAUGUCGGUUAAAACAAGAAAAAAAGGUAUAGGAGAUGUGUUACCAUUUUAGCAGUAAAUCUAAUUAUAGUAUUAUUUAAUUUAUUUACAAUUGCGUACUGGCUCCAGCGUCAAAGGCAAUACGGAUAAUUAUUUUAGUUGUAGCACCAUAAGUAACUAUAAGUGUAGAAAGGACACGAAUUACGUUAUCAAUAUUUUUUAACUUAAGGGGUAGUUUCGAAACAGGUGAAUUGCACUCUUAAUAUACAUAGGAAAAUGCAGUGGCGUACCCAGGAUUGUACUUCAGCCCAGCUCAUGAAACGUCUGUGUAUAGGAAACCAACUCGAUUCGCUCGCAAUAUAAUUUAUUUAUUUCAUAUUUCAAUACCAACAUAACUCAUUUACAUAUGAAACAAAAGUAAGUUUUACAAACUUACACAAAAACCACAUUAAGAAUUUGUAUUAUUUGCAUUAAUAUUAUUGAAAUAUUCAAAAAAAUCACCAAGUUAAAAUGCAGGUAUACACAAACAGAUUGGCAGUCCGCAGAAAUCAAAAAAAUGUAAUGGCCAUGAUUAAAACAAAACUACUAAUUAUAAUAAAUCGCAAUUAUUAGUAAAUUGGUGUACAUUUUCUAAUAUUUCUAAUUGUAUAUCUUUCAUAAAAGAAACACUAAUACCUACAAUCUAUACAUAGUACAUUAUAAUAUUAUGGAAAUAGCAAUAGCAAUUGAUAUUAAUGUAUUACUAUUAUUACGAUUUGAGAGGCUAGUAUACAAUUUUAGGAUGAUUAUUAUUGUACAAUAAAUCAAUUGUUCAAAUAAAAUUAAAUUCGAGUUAGAAUAUGGAUAAUGCGAAUUAUACUUGUAAUCAAUACUGAUUUUUGAAUCAAAAUAAAUAUUUUUAAUGUUAGGUACCUACACAAUAAAUGAAAAUUGUAUUUGAUAUCAUAUAUUUCUCAGCAUUGUCAAUUAUUUUUCAUUACAUAUAUAUAUAUAUCAUUCAGAUACACAACUCCAAAAAGUAAUACACGUGUGAUAUAUGUACGUUAUAAACAAUUACACUUAAUGUUUUAUCUUUAUAUAUACUUCCGACCAAAAGUUUUUACACACGGAAUUUAAAAAAAAAAUAUUUUGAAUUCCUCAAUUUAACUGCCAAUUACAUUACCUAUUCAUUAUGUUUUAUCCUUGUUUGUUUUUUGUGCCUCGUGGUAGGUAUAUUUGGUUACAACUACUAAUUAGUCAGGUGAGUUUCGUUUGAUUUUGUCUUAACUUUGACAUUAUAUUUGAACUAUUCGUUGCAACAUUAAAAAAUGACCUUUUUUCUUAUCACAGCAGGUCAUACUCCUCCCCUAUGGCCAUAUAAUAGUGGCGAUUGGUGAAUACGGAAUGGCGCCCGAGUACUCGCGACGUGUUUUACUGUCGUUAUGCAACAGGUGUACGUGUAAAAUAAUAAUAAUAACAGUUGUAGUGGGUAUUGUGUAAGCUCACUGCGGGCUACGACGGCGACGGUCUGCGGGAAGAGAUAAAGUGAAACAUUGUGAGAAGGUGGGAGAAAGAGAGGGGCGGGAGUGGAGAGUAAAGAUAAUGAGUACCGAGGGGGGGAGUGAGGAGGCGUAUUAGUGUAUUACCGAGAGAU